GUGAUUUCUACCUUAUGCUCUAACUGUCAAAGUGAAGAAAUUCAACCAAGCAUGGGUAAAGGACGGGAGUAAAUAUGACUCUCUUAAAGUAGCCAAAUGCCUCGUCAUCUAAUUAGUAAUGUGCAUAAAUGGAUUAACAAGUUCCCACUAUUCCUAUCUAUUAUCCAGUAAAACCACAACUAAGGGAAUGGGCUUGGCAAAAUUAGUGGGGAAAGAAGACUUUGUUGAGCUUGACUCUAUUUCAACUUUGAAAAAUGACUUGAAAGAAGACCUCUCACUUUAUUUUUUUACACUGCACCCUUUAAAGUUGGGGAUGAAUUGAGUUCCCUAUUGCAAUCGAUUUGAUUGGAUGAUGACAUGUUUCCCUCAGGCAUCCAAGUAAAUGGCAAUGAAUUGCCCUUGACAUUUGUUAUAGGGAUAGGCUCACCCUUGGUGUAGGCACUUGCCUCAAUCUCUAUCGACACAUGUUGGCCCUUGAUGCAUGUUGUUGCCUCAAACACCAUUGACUGUAUGUGGCCCUUAAUUGCUAUAUGGGCAAUUGCAUCCAACACCAAUGACAAAUGCCACCCUGUUCUUACCACAAACAUCGUCAGCAGAUGCUAACCCCUCGUGUAGGAUGUUGCCUCAGACACCAUUGCUAGAUGUUGGUGAUGUUUAAGCAAGGACUUGCCUCAACCACCAUCGACACUAGUAGGCCCUUGGUAUAGGUUGUUGUCUCAGACUCCUUUUUGGUAGAUGAUGACACUUGGUAUCACAUGUGUACCAUGACCCUUCCACCCAAGGCACUUGUCUACCCCUCGAUCACCAUUGGCAUAAAAUGACGCUUGGUGCAUGUGUCACGGGCUCUAAUCUUAAGCCAAACUCCAUACGGCCUUCGAUAAGGAAUUGACUCCAUGUGCCUUAGUUAGCCUACAAAACUCAUGUGCUCAUCAUAAUUCUAGCUUGUCAAAGAUUGUGCUACAAUACUGGGCUUUCUAUAAGCCCACAAAUUUGAUCCUCCUAAGACUAUGUUCAAGCGUGCCCACACUUAGGUCUGACUAUGCCCCAUAUCUCGAUCAUCAUGCCCACACUUGAGUCUAACCGUGUGUUUAUGCAUCACUCACUAGUGCUCGCACCUAGGUGUAGAUCUUGGUCAUAGUAGCAAAUAUUCAUAUGAGAAAUUUGAACGCUGAAGAGGGGAAAGUUUUCAUGUGAACAGCACUUGCACAUGGUUAGUCAAUCAUAAGAGAUUGGGGAAGCCUAUUCGGUGCUUCUAGUGCAAGCAUUGAAAGGGAAUUAAGUUAAAAUUCCUGAACUAGGAUGCAACAACUGGUAGCAACAUUUAGGAGUUUGGAGAAGUUAGCAGGGGCCUCAAGAAGAGUUAUCUUUUUGUUUAAUAGCCUAUCCACCUUGGAAAUGGCUCAGCCGAAUAUAGGUCCAGUAACCAAAAGAGACUGUAUGUCGCAUGGUGUCUAAUGUGCCCCCAGCAGCCCAUGAAAUCUAGAGGACCAAAUGCCAUUCCUGCUUGGUUAUACCUAUAACCACAUCAAGUCUCCAAGGCGAACAACCUCUAGUCAAUGAAAUAAUGUAGGCAAGGAAAGCCAACAAAAUGGAUCCAUAACCUCAAGAAAAGGAUUGGCUCUAAGAGCUAGGCAUAGGGGUCUUAGUCUUGAACUCAUCAGCUAUUGGUGCACUACUCAAACUAUUCUUACGAUGAGAGUGGAUCAUCGUGUGCUAACUAGGGGAAGGAUUAGGAACGGCUCUCUCGAGGGCCUUUCUCGAGUGAUAAAUAGUUGACUUAGAACUGGUAUGGGUAAGGGGAAUCCAACUAUUUAAUUAAAAUAAAGCAUUGUGAUGGUCCUUGUGGAUGCUCAUGUAAUGUGAUUUUUGCCCAAUGCUCUGAAAGUCAAAGUGAAAAAAUUCAACCAAGUGUAGGUAAAUAGUAGGAGUAACCAUGACUCUCUUAAGGUAGCCAAUUGCCUCAUCAUCUAACUAAUGACAUGCAUGAAUGGAUUAACAAGAGUCUCGCUAUCCCUAUCUACUAUCCAAUAAAACCACAACCAAGGGAACAGGCUUGGUAAAAUCAGUGGGGAAAGAAGAUCUUAUUAAGCUUAACUCUAGUCUAACUUUGUGAAAUGACUUAAGAGGUGUAGGAUAAGUGGGAGCCCUAGGAUAAAAUUGAAAUACCACUAUUUUAAAGUUAUUUUUCUUAUUUUAUGAAUUAGAGGUGGGGCACGAACCCUUCUUUUAAGGCUAGCCUUAGUCAGUCAAUCCAGGUGAAAGACAUUGUCAGGUGAAGGGUUUGGCUAGGGUAGCACAUCUAUUAAAAGAUAACCCAGGUGCCCUAAGAUGAGCUCAAUGAAAAUAGAAAUUUCAUAUGGAACAAAAGGGUAAAGCUUGUUUGAUUAUGAUUUCUAGUAUGAAUACGAACCAUAAAAGUGUGGCCUAUCAAUCUUUUAGACCUUUAGAAUUUGAAGCUAAAGGUGUCAGAAAAGUUACCACAAGAAUAACUAGCUUGUGGCAGCUAAGAGUUCAUAGCAACAUUGCUUUUAUCCUUUGAUGUCGACUCUUCCUAUCAUUGUGAAGCAGAAUUCACCAAGUGUUGGAUUCUUCUCCCACCAAUUGGGAACAUGAGCUAGGUUUAGACCAUCAUGAGACAAGCUAGUUUUACCCGACUAAUGGUAGGAUCGUAAUAGGAAUUGAAUCUAGUAUCAAAAGAACCAUUGAUUCACACAAUUUGUCAUUGUGCUUGGUUGAAAAGCUAAUGGCAUGAAGCUACCGUACAUUGAAUUAUGACUAAAUGGCUCUAAGUCAAUUUAGGGUAGAAGUGAUGGAUGCACUCAUUGCUCGAUUAUAGACCUACAGUAGGGGCCUAUCACCCUUAAAGGUAUGUGUCAUCGGUGCAGCCCUUGAUGCAAACAAGCUACAUGGGCCUCUUUUGAGCUUAAUUCCACUAAGCAACAGGUGGAAUCUGUUGUAAAAGACUUACAUACUGGGGUAUUGUAAGUGGCAAAAUGGCCUUGUUGCCAUAAUUUACUAAGAUUUAGGCCUUUGU
This 3034-nucleotide ribosomal RNA is filed under the name Durio zibethinus. Its description in RNAcentral is "eukaryotic LSU rRNA". The stretch from base 1018 to 3034 matches the Rfam family "Eukaryotic large subunit ribosomal RNA". The record is from RNAcentral. Lineage: Eukaryota; Viridiplantae; Streptophyta; Magnoliopsida; Malvales; Malvaceae.